CAGCAGCCGCGGUAAUACGAAGGGUGCAAGCGUUAAUCGGAAUUACUGGGCGUAAAGCGUGCGUAGGCGGUGAGUUAAGUCUGCUGUGAAAUCCCCGGGCUCAACCUGGGAAUGGCAGUGGAUACUGGCUCGCUAGAGUGUGUCAGAGGAUGGUGGAAUUCCCGGUGUAGCGGUGAAAUGCGUAGAGAUCGGGAGGAACAUCAGUGGCGAAGGCGGCCAUCUGGGGCAACACUGACGCUGAGGCACGAAAGCGUGGGGAGCAAACAGGAUUAGAUACCCCCGUAGUCCCUGUCUCUUAUAC
RNAcentral lists this ribosomal RNA (301 nucleotides) under uncultured bacterium. RNAcentral describes it as "partial 16S ribosomal RNA". It matches the Rfam family "Bacterial small subunit ribosomal RNA", at positions 509 to 807 of the family's 1533-position model. The record is from RNAcentral.